RNAcentral lists this long non-coding RNA (806 nucleotides) under Vigna radiata. Its description in RNAcentral is "long non-coding RNA (VRAD_LNC003000)". The record is from RNAcentral. Lineage: Eukaryota; Viridiplantae; Streptophyta; Magnoliopsida; Fabales; Fabaceae.
AGAAAAAAAUUACGGUGUCGAGAAGUAGACAAGGACCCAAGUUCCAUUUUGGGUCGGAAGAACUAGAAAACUCAAAAGAUCACCACUCUUUUAGUGAGAAAACUAGCAAAGGGAGAAUGUUGCACUAUGUUACCCAAAGAGUGGAUCAAAAUUGCACUAAAACACAACACAAAAAAGGAAAAUUUUAAUCAGUUGAACGACAAGAUAAUCGAUAAAAAACUAAAGAAAGUUUAAACGGUAAGCAUAAGAAAAACCAUGCACCUGAGAUGAAGAGAGAAAAAGGAGAGGACGGAGACAAUGACGUUAUGAGAAAAUACAAUGCAAUGCCGGAAGAGAUAGAAAGUAGAGGUGCGCAAGGGAGUAAAAGAAGAGGAAAAAAAGAGAAAAAGGAGAAGAGAUGAAGACGCAAUCAGAAACUGAGUGGUUAGAAGGGUCUGCGGUUUAUUUAAAAUGAAAUUGGGCGUCGGUUGCGCCAAAAACCGACGUCUAUAGACGUCAGUGUUUGAUUGGGAUCCGACAUCUAUUCUUCUUAAAGAAGCUGAAAAGAUUGACGCUUGAUUUCCUGUCAGGGUAGUUCACGUCGGUGCCCCUCCUAACCGACGUCUAAAACCCUCGAAUUUGGUGAAAAUAAUCAAUUACAGGAACGUAGACGUCGCUUACGUUCAGAACCGACGUCUAAAUUGAAGGAUUUUUGUCUUCCCGCCUUCCAGAUAGGCCUUAGACGUCGUCGUUUGACUACGUGACGUCUAAGCGCCUGGGAAUUUGGUGAACAACAUUAAUUGUAGCCCAGUUGACGUCGCUUGUUC